AGAACGAACGCUGGCGGCGUGGAUAAGACAUGCAAGUCGAGCGAGAUUUUUUCUUGUAGCAAUACAGGGAAAAGUCUAGCGGCGAACGGGUGCUUAACACGUGGGCAACCUGCCAAGAAGUGGGGGAUAGCUCGCCGAAAUGCGAAUUAAUACCGCAUGUGAUUAGAGUGGACAUCCAUUCGAAAUCAAAGUCGGGGCAACCUGACGUUUCUUGAGGGGCCCGCGGCCUAUCAGCUAGUUGGUGAGGUAACGGCCCACCAAGGCUAAGACGGGUAGCUGGUCUGAGAGGACGACCAGCCACACUGGGACUGAGACACGGCCCAGACACCUACGGGUGGCAGCAGUCGAGAAUUUUCUCAAUGGGGAAACCCUGAAGGAGCGACGCCGCGUGGAGGAUGAAGGUCUUCGGGUUGUAAACCGCUUUCACCAGGGGCGAAGCGAGAGUGACGGUACCUGGGGAAGAAGCGCCGGCUAACGUACGCGCCAGCAGCCGCGGU
This 497-nucleotide ribosomal RNA is filed under the name uncultured bacterium. RNAcentral's name for it is "SSU rRNA". It matches the Rfam family "Bacterial small subunit ribosomal RNA", at positions 26 to 521 of the family's 1533-position model. The record is from RNAcentral.